GGGACUGGGCUGUGCGGUCUCGAAGAUUUCAAAUUCUGGUGUCCCCUGGCAGUUCACCUAGGCAAAAGUCCCAGGUGGAAGGGGGAGACCCCACAGGUGAUUAUUUCCACCUGCUCUGAACUCCUGCUGGGUGUGGGGGGGGGGAUGCUCUGACCCUCAGCACCCCUUACAGGACCUCCAAGGAGACGGCCUGGCUGCUGGUAACCUGGUCUCUAACUCAGAAGAUGGGCGACUUCAUAAUUCAUCACCCAAACUGGGACACUUCUGAGAGUGAAGGGAAUGGUCUCACUAACCUGGAAUAACAGGGCCUGGUGUGGCUGCCGUGGGGGCACCACGGGUGGGGAGUCUGCCUCUUCCUCGUCCCGCCUUUAUGGAGGUAUGAUCAAGAGGAGACGCUGACAGCUGUGAGAGAAGAUCCUGAAGGCCUGAGGGAGGCCACUCUGCCCCCAACGCCCUGCCCCCAGAGGACCGCAGCGCCCGCCUCCAGCACAACCACUCCCCAGUCAGCAGCCUAGAUCAACACUGCCCAGCGCGUUCGCGCUCAGGACCCAUCUCAGCUUGCCGGGGCCUGUGCCUGCUGCUUAGUCACCCAACACCCAUGCUGGGGUGGCAUCCCUCCACCCAAAGUCUGUCCGUGGCAGGGAGUGGCCACAAGAAGGUCCCUUCCCUGGACGCAGAGGCUUACUUCAGGAUGGACUUGCAAUCGCUGAUGGGGACAUGAGAACUGGGCGGACAGUCUUCCUUCAUCUUCCCCUCUCGUCUGCAGACUCGGAAGUUACCUGCUGGGAAGAGGACGAAAGACAGACAGGUGAGCCUGGAGAAGCGCUGGCCAGUGCCGUGUCCAGAGCCCUGGUGUGCCGGCCUGUGGUUUCAACCUCACCUCCCACCUCCCAUCCUGCCCGUACCCUACUUCUUCCACUUCUGGGCACAGGGCGGCCACAGCUGAAGAACCAGGCUCAGAGGACUUAAUGGGGUCCCAAACCCUCCCGGGGCAGCCAAGCUCCCCUGGAGGGUGGGGGGAAUGGUCAGAAUUGCUGAGCUAGCUGGCUCCCAGGACCAGCCCUAUCAGCCCCUCUCCCAGAAUCUCUCCAUAAUCCCAAGGGAUCUGGAUCAGUCUCAUAAAUGUUUCAGACCACAGGCUCUCUUCCCUCAGCCGGGACACCCUGAAGGAUGGUUUCUACUGCCAUUGCCCCUCCAAACCCCAAAGCGCCCUGGGCCUUUCUCCUCCAUUACCAUUGAGCCCAGGCUGGUGGCCCCAUCACUGCCUCUGGAGCCAGCACACCUGGCCCAGCUCUCCUAGUGAUGGGUUAAUCGGUACUGUGGUCACUACAUGCGGGAGACUGUGUUGAGCAUUUCUAUGAAUUAUCUUAUUGACUCCUUACAACAACAAUAUGAGGCUUUCCCUGCCUUCCCAAGCCUCCCGCAGAUCUAUGUCACCUCGCCACCCACCCACACUUCACAUACCUCGCCACCUUCUACUUGGGCUCUGCUCCUGGCGGAUGCUGACAAUGUGGGGCUGCCAGAAACUCAAUGGUCAUGAGUGGACAUCAUAAUGGCCACAAGUUGCUAACAUCUCAGAAAUAAGGUAAAAUAACUAUGGCAAUGCAAGAUGUCUGAAUGUAUUAAUUGUCAAUGCAACUCAAAUUUCAACAACAGGAAAUGACUCUUCACGCUCUUCAGUAUUUCGAUUCAUUUAAGAAAUGGCAAGACUGUUGGCUGGACACGGCCUGAAACAGUACAAGGGCAGGAGGGUUUAUGGAAGGACAGUUUCUCAAAGUAUAACGUCUUACGUAAGGAUUUCCCUCUACAGAGAGUUUGGUGUUGCUUGGGAACCAGAAUUCCUAUGAACAGCCAGAUACCGACUGAGAUCCAAGGCGGCAAAAUAAUAAACGAUUAAGACCUUCCCUCAAGCCAGGAUAUUAAACAGCCAAAGGAGGUGGAGGCUUUCCAGAUGGAAAAGAAAGGAACCUUGAGAGAGAGAGAGAGAGAGAGCGAGAGCACAGAGCAUUUGCGCAAACAAGGGCCAUUUGUCCAGUUCCUGGGCUUUGUAUUUCAAAGAACAUCAGCCUCAGGGCACUCUGGGGAGACUCCCCAGCCGAAGAAUGUUGCUGCUGCUGUGUUCUGGAAGGAAGGACAGCCCUCUAGCUCUUCUCCCAAGCAUGCAGUUUCUAAGGAAUGUGAAACAUCCUCAACGGGAAAGGGGUGCGCGGGCCAGACUUGACCCGUUAACCUUGUGUUUAAAAAGAUGUUUCAGCGGGGUUGGCCUCACCUCUGAACCUGCCCUCAGGGCCACCUCUGUUUAGUUCUUGGUGUGCCAGUGCUAGCUUUCCCAAGUUCCCUUCCCAGCCUCUGGAACUGUGAACUCGAGAUCUGUGUGCCUAAGGCAGGGUUGUGCCCUAUUAUAAACGUCUUUUUUUGUGUGUCCAUUGGGGAAUCAUCUCUGGCAUCUCACGCUGGAAACCCCCUCUCGGCAUAAUAAACAGGAUGUCGACCUUACAGCUGGGACAGAAUUAGAGUGAUCAGUGUAUUUGUCACAGUUCUCCAGAGAAAUUGAUAGCCAGAUAGAUAGAUAGAUAUGAGAGAGAGAGAGAAAGAGAGAUAUUGAGAUUUAUUUUGGGGAAGUGGCUCACGUAAUUGUGGGGGCUGACAGGUCCAAAAUCUCUUGGGCAGGCCGGCAAGCUGGAGACUCAGAUAAGAUUUGAUACUGCAGUCUGGAGUCUAGAAUCUGCAGGCCAGCACACCGGAAGCGCAGACAGGGGUUCUCCGUUACAAUCUUGAGGCAGAAUUGCUUCUUCUUGGGAAACCUCUGUCUUUCCUGGAAGGCCUCCAACGGACUGGGUGAGCCCAUCCCAUUCUGGAAGAAGGUAAUCUGUUUUACUGGAAGUCUACUGAUUUAAAUGUUAAUCACAUCUCAGCAAACACCUUCACAGCAGCAUUUAGACUGGUAUUUGACCGUGUAAUGGGGUGCCAUGGCUUAGCCAAGUGGACACAGAAAACUAACCAUCACGAUCAGUGAGUUUGGCCAACAGUUUAUACUCCAUCUUGUCCUUCUCAGGACAGACUCUGUGGCAGAUACUCGGCAUUCGAAGACUCUUCAGCAUGUAACAUGCCUUCUUUCCCAGGGAUUUCAUGUUUUAAUGUACCUAUGUAAUCUGUGGCAAUUUUUGAGGAAAUUUGCUUCUCUAUUGGCCAAAUGAGUCCAAAUUAGAAGUUGGCAAACAUUUUCAGUAAAGGGCCAGAGAGUAUCUAUUUUCAUAUUUGUAGACGAUACCAUUUCUCUUGCCACAACUCAAGCCAUAGAUAAUCUGAAAUGAAUGGUGUGAUUGUGUUCCA
Ailuropoda melanoleuca (giant panda) is the source of this 3333-nucleotide long non-coding RNA. RefSeq lists it as uncharacterized. The record is from RefSeq and is a predicted model, not a curated record. The transcript has 3 exons. Lineage: Eukaryota; Metazoa; Chordata; Mammalia; Carnivora; Ursidae.